GACCAACACCUCACGAGGCUUCUUCUCUCUACGCUGAGACCUUGAAACUGAUAUAUCUUUCUUUUGUUCUCAAAACACGGUCAUUCGUUCUCAAAACACGGUCUGGGCGUACUGCAAAAUUGCAGCUACUGAUAGGUGUGAUUUGUACAGUCAGCCACUUGCAUGAACACAGAAAUUGGUUAAUAGAAUAGCACAUGAAAAGAACACAGAAAUUAGUUAUAAGAAUAUUAUUAGUUAUAAGAAUAGAACAAACAUGAACAUUUCCCUUACAUUCCCUCUGCUUAUCACUCGGUUUGAUAAUAGUCAUUCAAUUUAGAUUUUAGCUUCUAUAUCAAAAUAUUCUACACUCCAUUAAAGUAAAGGAAAUCAACACAGAAAAAAAACAGACAUAAUUUAUAACACUUCAUUCUGGGUUGUACAAUCCACGUAGUAGGGUAAUACUAUACUCAUAAUAAAGGUUAUACUUUAUUAAUAGGAGUGAGUAUCAAAAAUACACAACAGAUCUGUAGAUUCAGAAGUGAAUAAAUCUCUCGAUGUUAACUAUUGUUUCCAUAUUUCUCGGGUUGCAUUAACCUAUGUUUUCAGUAACUGUCCCUGAGACAUCCACCUAGUCAAAUAGAAAACCCAGUUGUUUAACAAUUCUGCUAAGACCUUCAAAAGGUUGGUGCUGGGUCAUCAGCUCAGUGUUCCACAUAAUGUAAACAGGUUAAGGGUUUAGAUGACCUUACCCUCAAUUUAUUAAAAGAAAACAAACUUCAAUCUAACUGUUUCACCAUCCUCUGGAGGAGUAGAAAACAAAAUAGCUGCUGAAAUCUUAUCAGCUAGAGAGGCACAUCGCCUUACAGCAUGUUAAUAACAUUUCACAGGGAAGAGAAAGGGAACACGUUAUAACAGUUUCACACCAAACUUGCUAAGAAUGAGAUUGUUGCAAGGUUAGCGCAAGCUACAAUCUAGUGUCUCUCCUCUAACUAUACGGUGCCCCGUAUAGCUGAAUUGGGCACCUUCUAACGUAAACACUUGUAAUCUUAAUCUUUUUGACCUUUUGCAUUGACAUACAAUUCUGUGCGAACUGUCCCAAAUUUCCCCACUGUGUCUCUCACAGCCUGUUUGAGUUCAGUGUGUACUGGCGGCGAUCUAUUGUUCCACAGGAAGGUUAUCUCUAAUCCAAACAACAGAUGACAUAAACAAGAGAGCAGUAGACCAGGCCUUGAAGAGUGAGCAGCCUCUAAUUUAAUAUCAGUCCCAAUGCUCAAUCCCUCUGUCUUACUCCUUCAAAUGUCUAAGAUAUUGUAUUAUUAGAUUGUUAUCUGAAAGCCAAUUAUCAUUCACUUUGUUACAUUCACUAGUCUCCAUAAUCUGUUUCCUUCAACUAAAACCCUUCUACUCUUUCCAGUAGAAAAAAAAACAUUCUCAAUCAAUACUCCUAAUACGCACGGAUCACUCUCAAACCACAUUUGGCUUUUUUUCCCUACUGCAAGGUUUAAAACAAAACAAAGCAAAAAUGAUAGCUGUCUCCAUAUUGUAAAGCAUUGUUUUCAUUUUAGUACACCUUCAAAAAGUUACUCAAUAUUUUUAUUACCAAUCUCUGUUGGAUAUUCUUCAAUAUUUAUGAAAUGUUUAUUAUUUUAAGAUUCAUAUGUAAUGCUUUGGAGGGAUCAAUAUGUAUUAACUGGGUUGGCACUGACUCAUCCACAGCAGAUGUUGCACUCGGUCCAUAAUAAGUCUGGCACAUGAACAUAACACAGAAAUGAGUUGUAAGAAUAUUAGUAGUUCUAAGAAUAGCACAAACAUAAAAAUGUCCCUUACAACAUGUUACCCUUAUAAUGACUACCCUUGACGGUGACUUGAAACUAUGUCUUCCGGUUGCUCAUCACAUAAGUACGUAUCACCAAACAGCGCUCUUUUGAUGAAUAACCCUGCUGGAUCUUGAGGACUGUUAAUGUAGCAGAUGGGGAUCUGUGAAACUCCCUCCUUAGACUGAAGUGUCCCCCCUUACGCAAUUGCAGAAGGCCUUUUUAAAUAGCACGAUGCGUUGGAAUACUUCAGCAGGGCAGUCACGUGUUUUCAAGGCAGAAGUCCUGAGUUUGAGUCUCCGUUUGAGCUGAAGCAGGGGGAGCGGUACUCUAUAAGCAGGCAGUGUGAUGUCCUUUACAAUGGUGCCACUGGACUCGGAUCUACAACUGCGCUCAGCUCAACCCCUGGAACUGCUGUGGAGUGAGUUUGGGGGGGUGAAUGUAGAAGAUGGGAUCUGUGAAAAUCAUCAGCCUGAACUGUCGCCCCUUAUGCAAUUGACGAAGGCCUUUUUCAACAGCGCGGUGGGUUGGAUCUCUUCAGGAGGGCGGUCAGCCGUGUGUUUGCGAGGCAGAUGUCCUGAGUUCGAGCCUCGAUAUGAGCUGAAUCAGGGGGAAGCGUGACUCGAUAAUCAAGCAGCAUGUCGUCCUUUACAUGAACUUCCUGAACUUAUCCUUAUAGGCUUUAGCUAAGUGGGCUAACACAAUCUUGUGACAUGCAGGAGACCUGGUUCCAAUCCAGUCAGUUCAAAUAUUAAAUAGGGAGUGGAAAGGCUACGUAAUUUUUUUUGUGACACUCCCUUCCAACCUGUCCUGCGUGACCUGUGAUCAUCUUAGCGGGGAACAGAAGGAAUGUCCGCGUUCUAGAGAGUCGUAGCAUUCAGGAAUGGGGCAGAGCAGGCAACAGAUGGCACACAGACAGCAGAGUUGGGGACAGAUAUGCAGGGACAGACUGGCAGAGACAGGGAGUCUCAGUGAACCCAUCGAGGAGCAGUGUAGCAGAAUAAACGGCUGUAACUCCAACUAAUGUCCUUGAGCUGCUCGGAGAGAGACCUCUGGUCUAUAAACAUGGGAUCCACGGCAGCUCACAAGGAAAGCACGCCGCAGUGCGAAGGAAACCUGUCAACUAAAAUCAAGACGUUGCAUUCCCAGCUCCUGUUCCAGCUGUAUAGCACCACAGAAUGGAAUGCCCUUUAAAGUUCCACUAGAUUCUGUUGAUUGGGAAAGUAAGAAGGGAAAAUUACAUGCUAUGAUUUCAGGCCAUAUGGUGAAUAUGAUUUGCUGUUAAAUUUCCGAUAUUUUGUUUAGCCAAUUUUAAGUUAGUAGUCUUGGUAGAGCAUGGCACUUGCAAUGGCAGGGUGGUGGGCUCCAUUCCCACGGGGAACCAUUAUGAAAAUGUAUGCGCUCUGGAUAAGAGUGUCUGCUAAAUAACGUACAUUUAAAAUGUAGUUCAUGAAUGGUACUCUUAGACCUACGAUUGAUUGAGAGAUAGGUGUGUGAGUACCCUCACCAAGGCUUACAUGUACCCACUGAAAAUGUCUGGGGAGUUCAGCACACAGUGUAAGGAUAUGCAGCUUGGGAGCUUUGUUGACUUUGUCACACUGCAGUAUGACAGAAAUGGCCUACAAUUCACAUGGAGGAGGCUGGUGGGAGGAGCUAUAGGUGGACAGGCUCAUUGUAAUGGCUGGAAUGGAAUCAAUGGAACGGAGUCAUUACAUUCCAGCAAUUACAAUGAGCCAGUCCUCCUAUAGCUCCUCCCACCAGCCUCCUCUGAAUUCACAGUAUUCAUUGAAAAAUCUGUGACCAUAUUUCCCCCAGCAAAUGUUUUAAAAUCUUAAAUGUUCUACAAUCAUAACCAUACAAAGCCUACAUGCCUGUAUGUAAUAACUAUAAUCACUAAUAUCCUUUCCCACAAUUCUUUCAGUUCAGCAUAAAUACCACUCACUGAUAAAGAGGCAUUACCCCUCUCUGAGGGUGUCUCAGGGGGAGUGGGAUAUGCUAGACACAUAUUUCCAUUUCACACCACACACUUGUACAGGUUACAUAUUUGUACAUGUUGUCACACCCUAAUCUGUUUCACCUGUCUUGUGCUUGUCUCCAGGUGUCUCCGAUUUUCCCCCAUUAUCCCCUGUGUACUUGUCUUUUCAAGUCUUACCAGCUUGUUUUCACGUUUUCCAGUAUCUCUAGUUUAUGUUUUCAAGUCUUCCCAGUUCUGAUCAUUCUGCCUGCCCUGAGCCUUCCUGCCGUUCUGCCCUUGAUAAACGCUGCCUUGGAUUACUGACCACUGCCUGCCCUUGACCUGCCAUUUGCCUGCCCCCUGUUUUGUAAUAAACAUCUGAGAUUCUAAAUGUCUGCUGCCUGUGUUUGCAUCUGGGUCUUAUUCUGUGUUGUGUUAGCAUGACUGACCCAGCAGACUCGGACCAGCUCCGCAACACUGUCACCAUCGGAAGACACGAGGAGUUACUUAGAAAUCUUAUGGAAGCAUUCCAGAUCUUAGUAGCGCGUUUGGGUAGUGGCUGGUUACAGUACUGUGAGACUCAGGUGCGUGCCCGCGUCGACCGAAUGCUUUGUUUUCUUUCCUCUGUUUACCUAAAUGCAGAUUCCCGGUCGGAAUAUUAUCGCUUUUUUACGAGAAAAAUGGCAUAAAUAUUGAUUUUAAACAGCGGUUGACAUGCUUCGAAGUACAGUAAUGGAAUAUUUAGAAAUCUUUUGUCACGAAUUGCGCCAUGCUCGUAACCCUUAUUUACACUUCGGAUAGUGUCUAGAACGCACGAACAAAACGCCGCUAUUUGGAUAUAACGAUGGAUUAUUUUGGACCAAACCAACAUUUGUUAUUGAAGUAGCUGUCCUGGGAGUGCAUUCUGACGAAGACAACAAAGGUAAUCAAACUUUUGUAAUAGUAAAUCGGAGUUUGGUCAGGGCUAAACUUGGUCGGUGUCUAAAUGGCUAGCCGUGAUGGCUGGGCUAUCUACUGAGAAUAUUGCAAAAUGUGCUUUCACCGAAAAGCUAUUUUAAAAUCGGACAUAUCGAGUGCAUAGAGGAGUUCUGUAUCUAUAAUUCUUAAAAUAAUUGUUAUGUUUUUUGUGAACGUUUAUCGUGAGUAAUUUAGUAAAUUCACCGGAUGUUUGCGGGGGGUAUGCUAGUCCUGAACGUCACAUGCUAAUGUAAAAAAGCUGGUUUUUGAUAUAAAUAUGAACUUGAUUGAACAAAACAUGCAUACAUUGUAUAACAUAAUGUCCUAGGUGUGUCAUCUGAUGAAGAUCAUCAAAUGUUAGUGCUGCAUUUAGCUGUGGUUUUGUUUUUUGUGACAUUAUAUGCUAGCUUGAAAAAUGGGUGUCUGAUUAUUUCUGGCUGGGUACUCUGCUGACAUAAUAUAAUGUUUUGCUUUCGCUGUAAAGCCUUUUUGAAAUCGGACAGUGUGGUUAGAUUAACCUGUUAUGGCUAGGGGGCAGUAUUUUCACGGCUGGAUAAAAAACGUACCCGAUUUAAUCUGGUUACUACUCCUGCCCAGUAACUAGAAUAUGCAUAUAAUUAUUGGCUUUGGAUAGAAAACACCCUAAAGUUUCUAAAACUGUUUGAAUGAUGUCUGUGAGUUAACAGAACUCAUAUGGCAGGCAAAAACCUUAGAAGAUUUCAUGCAGGAAGUGGCCUGUCUGACAAGGUGUCGUUCUUCUUGUCUCUGUUUAUUGAAGAGUGAGGAUCUUAGCUGUCCCGUGACACUUCCUACGGCUGCCAUAGGGUCUCAGAAGGCGGUAAAAAGCUGAAUCGUGGCUUUGCAGGCUCUGGCUGAAAAAAAGUAGCGCGUUUGGGUAGUGGCUGGUUACAGUACUGUGAGACUCAGGCUCGUGCCCGCGUCGACCGAAAGCUUUGUUUACUUUCCUCUGUUUAGCUAAAUGGACAUUCCCGGUCGGAAUAUUAUCGCUUUUUUACGAGAAAAAUGGCAUAAAAAUGGAUUUUAAACAGCGGUUGACAUGCUUCGAAGUACGGUAAUGGAAUAUUUAGAUUUUUUUUGUCACGAAUUGCGCCAUGCGCACGACCCUUAUUUACCAUUUAGGAUAGUGUCUGGGACGCACGAACAAAACGCCGCUAUUCGGAUAUAACGAUGGAUUAUUUUGGACCAAACCAACAUUUGUUAUUGAAGUAGAAGUCCUGGGAGUGCAUUCUGACGAAGACAACAAAAGGUAAUCUAACUUUUAUAAUAGUAAAUCUGAUAUUGGUGAGUGCUAAACUUGCCGGGUGUCUAAAUAGCUACCCCGUGAUGGCUGGGCAAUGUACUUAGAAUAUUGCAAAAUGUGCUUUCACCAAAAAGCUAUUUUAAAAUCGGACAUAUCGAGUGCAUAGAGGAGUUCUGUAUCUAUAAUUCUUAAAAUAAUUGUUAUGCUUUUUGUGAACGUUUAUCGUGAGAAAUUUAGUAAAUUGUUAGCAAAUUCCUCCGGAAGUUUGCGGGGGGGUAUGCUAGUUCUGAACGUCACAUGCUAAUGUAAAAAGCUGUUUUUUGAUAUUAAUAUGAACUUGAUUGAACAAAACAUGCAUGUAUUGUAUAACAUAAUGUCCUAGGUGUGUCAUCUGAUGAAGAUCAUCAAAGGUUAGUGCUGCAUUUAGCUGUCUUCUGGGUUUUUGUGACAUUAUAUGCUAGCUUGAAAAACGGGUGUCUGAUUAUUUCUGGCUUGGUACUCUGCUGACAUAAUCUAAUGUUUUGCUUUCGCUGUAAAGCCUUUUUGAAAUCGGACAGUGUGGUUAGAUAAAGGAGAGUCUUGUCUUUAAAAUGCUGUGAAAUAGUCAUAUGUUUGAAAAAUUGAAGUUUUUGUAUUUUUGAGGAAUUUGUAAUUCGCGCCACGCCUAUCAUUGGAUAUUGGAGCAGGUGUUCCGCUAGCGGAACGUCUAGAUGUAAGAGGUUAACGAGAGUCUUGUCUUUAAAAUGCUGUAAAAUAGUAAUAUGUUUGAAAAAUUGAAGUUUUCGGAUUUUAGAGGAGUUUGUAUUUCGCGCCACGCCCAUCAUUGGAUAUUGGAGCAGGUGUUCCGCUAGCGGAACGUCUAGAUGUAAGAGGUUUAAAGAAGAGCUCUCAGCCCAGUAGCUGCCCCAUGCAUUUCGAUUCUCAUUGCCUUGACCAUACGGAUCGAUGGGCGUCUACGGGAAUGUAGGAGGGAGAGGAGGUCUGUUCCCAGUCACACUCGCUCGUCCAAGGAUCCCACCUCGCCUCCGAGGAAUCCCGGAAGUCCCCAGCAUCUACAUUACCGAGAUAAUCCGAGGUUCCCCAAGUUCCCCCGACUCGCCUCCUCCGGAGCCUAUGGAACUUGGCAGAGCUAGAUUGCCUCCUGUCGAACGUUUAUGCUGACUGGACAACAAGAGCUGUCUGUAUUGUGGAACUACAGGUCAUUACAUUUCUACCUGUCCAUUAAAAGACCAGGCUCAUCAGUAGGUACAAGUACGCUGGUGGGCAAUGGGGAGAUUUCCAAUUUCCCAUUACGCGUACCCCUCUCCAUGCCAUCCAGCUGUGGGGUGACAGGUCAAAAUCUCUCCGGGUACUCAUUGACUCUGGGGCUGACAAGAGUUUUAUGGACACUACCUGGUGUCAGAGAUGGGAAUACCAACUCAACCCCUCUUCAUUCUCAUGGACGUCAGAGCGCUGGAUGGGCGCUCUAUUGGCAGUGUCACCCACAAUACGGUUCCUAUCAACAUGCGAGUGUCAGGGAACCACUGUGAGUCUAUGCAGUUUUUGUUCAUCGAAUCUCCUCAGGUACCCGUGGUUUUGAGGUUUUCAUGGUGGAAAGGUACAUCUGCCUCCCCCGCCGUGUAUCCACUACUGUGGCCUUAACUGGAUGUUUGUCCCAGACUCUUCUUGGUUCCCCGGUCCUGGAAUGGGCUCAUUCCUCUUGACUUGCCUAUCAUCCUGGCUUCCGUCAGACCCUGGCCCUUGUACAACAACAUUGUUGGGGGCCCACCAUGGUUUCUGAUGUUUCCGCAUUCAUCGCCGCCUGCACUGUGUGUGCUCAGAAUAAGACUUCGCAGCAAGCUACGGCUGGCCUCCUUCAACCACUCCCUGUUCCUCACCGUCCCUGGUCCCAUAUAUCACCCUCCCAUAUAUCACCCUCAAACAGUUGGCAAGACCACUAUCCCUAUGGUGGUGGAUAGGUUUUCCAAAGCCGCCAAUUUCAUUCCCCUUCCCAAGUUGCCCUUAGCCAAGGAGAUUCUUAGCCCCUUUGCUGUUCUUCUGUUGCCACACACCCUUCGUAUACAUUCCACUUUUCAUGUGUCUAGGAUUAAACCUAUGUCUCACAG
Molecule: long non-coding RNA, 8070 nt
Filed under: Salmo salar (Atlantic salmon)
Lineage: Eukaryota; Metazoa; Chordata; Actinopteri; Salmoniformes; Salmonidae
Description: lncRNA (ENSSSAG00000117650.1)
Source: RNAcentral